Molecule: non-coding RNA, 2334 nt
Organism: Nelumbo nucifera (sacred lotus)
Lineage: Eukaryota; Viridiplantae; Streptophyta; Magnoliopsida; Proteales; Nelumbonaceae
Source: RefSeq, a predicted model, not a curated record
UUUUUCUCCUCAUCCCCGUUUUAUAAAGACUAACACCUUGAUUAUUUUUACUGGAGAAAUCUAUAUAUUUAUGACGUGAAUCCUGUCUUCAUAAUACUUCAUGUAGAAAUCCUUUUGGAGUUUAUGUGUUUACAACGUGAUAUAUAUAUUUUGAAUGGGAGAGUCUGGGUUGUGUAACUUGAUAUGCUUUCUUCAAAGAAAGUAGGACGUUUGAAGAUUUAAUUUAGAGAUUCUAUUAGUGUUUCUGGAAUAAUUCAUGAAGAAGCUUUUAACAUGGAUUUUUUUUUUCUUUUUUCUUUUUUAUCUAAAAACGAUAUCAGAAAUUUCUCUAGUGCAGGAGUACAGAUUUUGAUUUUGAUGAUAAGUUGGGCUUUUCAAGGUUUGCAUGAUAUGUAAUUUUUUAAAUGGUUUUCUUCAGGGAAUAGAGGUAGAGGAAGCUUUAAAUUCUUUGAAGGAAUUUCUGAUAUGAUCAAUGAUCUCUGUUUCUUGCUCCGCAGCCCUGAAUUUUACCUGAUGGAUCUAUUAUGGAGAAAAGGAAAAAACAAAAAGAACAUUUGUUUUCGGACUUGAUUCACUUGUCACAAUUAAAAAAUACUUGCCUAUAAAUAUGUGAAAUUUGACUCUUAAGAUGCUAUCUUGCAGAGGAUGGAGCUUGUGUGAAUGUUUUCCUCCAAAUAAGUAGUCAAAGACAAGUCAAAAUAUCCAUAUGGGGCUAUUGGAUCUUUUCAUUACUGCUUCAAUGCCAGUCCUGAAAGUGCUUUUGGUAACUCUUAUUGGCUCACUUCUUGCACUAGAUCAAAUAGAUAUUCUAGGGGAGGAUGCAAGGAAGCACUUAAAUCAGAUUGUAUACUUUGUAUUUACCCCAGCACUUGUGGGUAGCUACCUUGCUAAAACAAUAACUCUUGAAAGGAUGGCCAUGUUGUGGUUCAUGCCAGUUAAUAUCCUUAUCACAUAUAUCAUUGGUUCAAUACUUGGAUGGAUAGUUAUACGUAUCACAAGGCCUCCUUCACAUUUGAAGGGCCUCAUCUUGGGCUGCUGUUCUGCAGGAAAUAUGGGGAAUAUGUUUAUCAUUUUCAUCCCAGCAGUGUGUAAAGAGAAAGGAAAUCCUUUUGGAGCUCAUGAAAUCUGCCACACAUAUGGUCUAGCUUAUGCUUCCCUUUCUAUGGCUAUAGGAGCUGUUUAUUUGUGGGCUUAUGUCUACAAUCUUGUGCGGGUAUCUUCUUGUACCAGCAGUGUCCAAGUGAAUGGUUCCACAAUUUGUUCAAAGUUGUCUGGAGAAACCUCAGAAUAUAAAGGAAGUUGCACUGAAGCACUACUUAAUUCACAAGAUUGUUCUAUCUCCAGUGACUUCUCAGAUCAAUAUAAACUGCCUUGCAUUGAACCUCAGGGAGAACUGAAGGGGCCAAUUUCAGUUAAAUUUAGACACCAAUUAGAGAUUCUUUUGGAAAAUAUUAACUGGAAAGCUUUGGUCUCACCUUCAAUUAUUGGAGCGUUUGUUGGGUUUUUGGUUGGAAUAGUCCCUCAGAUGCGAAGGUCAGUGAUUGGUGAAAAUGCUCCUCUUCGUGUGAUCCAAGACUCAGCUUCAUUGGUGGGUGAUGGAGCUGUCCCAGCACUCACCCUGAUAAUGGGAGGAAACCUAAUGAAGGGUUUACAAGGGUCCCAAAUUAAGCUGUCACUCAUUUUUGGUAUCAUAAUAGUACGUUAUAUUACCCUGCCCUUGCUUGGAAUUCUCAUUAUUAAAGGGGCAAUUCGCUAUGGCUUGGUUCACUCUGAUCCAUUGUAUCAGUUUGUUCUUUUGCUUCAGUUUGCAGUUCCGCCUGCCAUGAACAUAGGUAUUGUAAAUGAUUCUUGCCAAGAACGGGAGUGCAAUGCUCAUAGCUAAGGAACUUAUUGGAUGGACCCCAAGAAACAUGUGGCUGUAUUUUUUAACUAUGCACAUUCAAGCUGGUUAGGAUAAAUACUUUAUAUGACUGUCUUGCAUUAUUCAACAGUUCUUGCCUUUGGGAACAUAUUUUCUCCUUUUCUUCCUAUGAUUUAUUCUGGUAGUCAUGCCAUCCAACUAUGUAGAGUGUAGCAUGACUGAACUAGAUUGAAUGUAGGGGGUGCAACUUGGGCAGGCUCAGAUUGAAGAUUUGUUAAGUUUUGAAUCGGCCACACCUGAGGGCUCAAGCCUGAUGCUAUGUAAAAUUUUCAGAUCGGGUACUUGACUUGCACCCCCGGUUGAGUGACUUGAAUUGAAUCAUGGACAAUUACCCAAUUGUUUGGGACUGGGGAGAGAGAAUGCUCUGUCAUCAUGCUGUGGACUUACAUCCUUGCCUCUGUUUCGAUUACCCU